UUUAUGGAGAGUUUGAUCCUGGCUCAGGAUGAACGCUGGCGGCGUGCCUAAUACAUGCAAGUCGAGCGAACGGACGAGAAGCUUGCUUCUCUGAUGUUAGCGGCGGACGGGUGAGUAACACGUGGAUAAACUACCUAUAAGACUGGGAUAACUUCGGGAAACCGGAGCUAAUACCGGAUAAUAUUUUGAACCGCAUGGUUCAAAAGUGAAAGACGGUCUUGCUGUCACUUAUAGAUGGAUCCGCGCUGCAUUAGCUAGUUGGUAAGGUAACGGCUUACCAAGGCAACGAUGCAUAGCCGACCUGAGAGGGUGAUCGGCCACACUGGAACUGAGACACGGUCCAGACUCCUACGGGAGGCAGCAGUAGGGAAUCUUCCGCAAUGGGCGAAAGCCUGACGGAGCAACGCCGCGUGAGUGAUGAAGGUCUUCGGAUCGUAAAACUCUGUUAUUAGGGAAGAACAUAUGUGUAAGUAACUGUGCACAUCUUGACGGUACCUAAUCAGAAAGCCACGGCUAACUACGUGCCAGCAGCCGCGGUAAUACGUAGGUGGCAAGCGUUAUCCGGAAUUAUUGGGCGUAAAGCGCGCGUAGGCGGUUUUUUAAGUCUGAUGUGAAAGCCCACGGCUCAACCGUGGAGGGUCAUUGGAAACUGGAAAACUUGAGUGCAGAAGAGGAAAGUGGAAUUCCAUGUGUAGCGGUGAAAUGCGCAGAGAUAUGGAGGAACACCAGUGGCGAAGGCGACUUUCUGGUCUGUAACUGACGCUGAUGUGCGAAAGCGUGGGGAUCAAACAGGAUUAGAUACCCUGGUAGUCCACGCCGUAAACGAUGAGUGCUAAGUGUUAGGGGGUUUCCGCCCCUUAGUGCUGCAGCUAACGCAUUAAGCACUCCGCCUGGGGAGUACGACCGCAAGGUUGAAACUCAAAGGAAUUGACGGGGACCCGCACAAGCGGUGGAGCAUGUGGUUUAAUUCGAAGCAACGCGAAGAACCUUACCAAAUCUUGACAUCCUUUGACAACUCUAGAGAUAGAGCCUUCCCCUUCGGGGGACAAAGUGACAGGUGGUGCAUGGUUGUCGUCAGCUCGUGUCGUGAGAUGUUGGGUUAAGUCCCGCAACGAGCGCAACCCUUAAGCUUAGUUGCCAUCAUUAAGUUGGGCACUCUAAGUUGACUGCCGGUGACAAACCGGAGGAAGGUGGGGAUGACGUCAAAUCAUCAUGCCCCUUAUGAUUUGGGCUACACACGUGCUACAAUGGACAAUACAAAGGGCAGCGAAACCGCGAG
RNAcentral lists this ribosomal RNA (1279 nucleotides) under Staphylococcus aureus. RNAcentral describes it as "bacterial SSU rRNA". It matches the Rfam family "Bacterial small subunit ribosomal RNA", at positions 1 to 1261 of the family's 1533-position model. Lineage: Bacteria; Bacillati; Bacillota; Bacilli; Caryophanales; Staphylococcaceae. The record is from RNAcentral.